Delphinapterus leucas (beluga whale) is the source of this 2123-nucleotide non-coding RNA. The record is from RefSeq and is a predicted model, not a curated record. Lineage: Eukaryota; Metazoa; Chordata; Mammalia; Artiodactyla; Monodontidae.
CUUAUUGAUAGUCCUCAGGACACUUAGGACAAAUGUAAUUUACAAUUGAAAGCUCAGAAGCUCAGAUGGGGAAGGAAUGUUUACACAACAUUCUGCUGUAGCUAGGGUUCCAAUAGCAAAGCGGGGAAGGGGCCAUUUGCUCUCGCAGGGAAGGAGCCCUGACCCCCCCUUCUCACGACCCUCCUCUCCCAGCAAGGGUUUGCUCCCGGGUGCACUCGGGUUAUCUAGCUGACUCACUGUUGAUGUAAAAACAGGGCUGGGCAGGCUAUAUUGAAAGCCACUGAAAGCGGAGGAAACUAGUCACGAAACCCCGACUAUCAGCUGAGAGAUCGCUUCCCGGUAACCCCGGAGUACUGCUAGCACUCUUUCCAGACUGGUGCACGUCCUCGGGGUCUGCCAGGGACGCAGAGCUGUUUCAGCCCCUCUCGGCCGCGACCGCUUCCCCCAUGCUUGAGGGCGCCGAGCUGUACUUCAACGCGGACCAUGGCUACCUGGAGGGCCUGGUGCGAGGAUGCAAAGCCGGCCUCCUGACCCAGCGGGACUACAUCAACCUGGUCCAGUGUGAGACCCUGGAAGAUCUGAAAAUUCAUCUCCAGACCACUGAUUAUGGCAACUUCUUGGCUAACCAAACAAAUCCUCUUACUGUUUCCAUUAUUGACACAGAGAUGAGAAAAAAGCUAUGCAGAGAAUUUGAGUAUUUCCGGAAUCAUUCCCUGGAGCCCCUGAGCACCUUUUUCACAUACAUGACGUGCAGUUACAUGAUAGAUAAUGUGAUUCUACUGAUGAACGGUGCAUUGCAAAAAAAAUCUGUGAAAGAAAUUCUGGUGAAGUGCCACCCGUUGGGCCGUUUCACAGAAAUGGAAGCAGUCAACAUUGCAGAGACACCUUCUGAUCUCUUUAAUGCCAUUCUGGUUGAAACACCAUUAGCUCCAUUCUUUCAAGACUGUAUGUCUGAAAAUACUCUAGACGAACUGAAUAUUGAAAUACUGCGCAAUAAACUGUACAAGUCUUACAUCGAGGCAUUCUAUAAAUUCUGUAAGAAUCAUGGUGAUGUCACAGCAGAAAUUAUGUGCCCCAUUCUUGAGUUUGAGGCAGACAGACGUGCUUUUAUCAUCACUCUUAACUCCUUUGGCACCGAGUUGAGCAAAGAGGACCGCGAGACCCUCUACCCGACCUGUGGCAAGCUCUAUCCCGAGGGACUGCACCUGCUGGCCCAAGCAGAGGACUUCGAGCAAAUGAAGAGAGUAGCGGACCAUGGAGUAUGUGUUUAUCCCGGGUAUACAAGCCUUUGUUUGAGGCUGUAGGUGAUGGCAGUGGGGGAAAGACAUUGGAGGAUGUGUUUUAUGAGCGUGAGGUACAGAUGAAUGUGCUGGCAUUCAACAGGCAAUUCCACUAUGGUGUGUUUUAUGCGUAUACCAAGCUGAAGGAACAAGAAAUAAGAAAUGUCGUGUGGAUAGCCGAAUGCAUUUCACAAAGACAUCGAACUAAAAUUAACAGUUACAUUCCAAUCUUAUAACCCAGUGAGGGGCCUGAAAUGCAUAAAAUCAUAAAUGUUAAGAGGAAGUUACCGAGGGAAAUAGGAGUCGUGUUAUAUUAUCUAGAUCACACUAAGCCACACUUCACUUCAUGAAUUGCAGACCGACUGGAAACGCAGCAAGCCAACCCUGAAACAAAGCAUUUCUUUUUCUUCCAGAAGCCUUAAAUCUUGCUUCCACAUUUAUGUCUCAUUCUUCACCUUGCCUUAGACAUUAAUUUUAAUUAACCAUAUGGUACUUUUCCUAUUCUUAUUUUUGUUCUUCUAAAAAUCAAAUCUAUUAAAAGUAUUUUGCUUUCCCAUGAUUCUCCACAGGCCCAAAUACUGAGUGUCUGCUUUAUUUUUUAACUGUCCAUCCCUUCCCUAGGUCCACAAAAAUCCAGAGCUGUACAUAGCCAACAUGGACCACAUAUGGUGGAAAAUACCAUAUUUUUUUCUAAUACACUUCGAUCUGGUAGGCUUGGGAAAGCUACAUAAUUCCAAAUCAUAUUCCAUAGAUGCAGGUAGUGUUAAAUUUGUUAUUAAGGCUACCACUUAUAACUAAUUUUCUCACAACUUUCUUUAAAUAAAAGGUAUACCUCUCUUUCUU